AAAUUGAAGAGUUUGAUCAUGGCUCAGAUUGAACGCUGGCGGCAGGCCUAACACAUGCAAGUCGAGCGGUAGCACAGAGAGCUUGCUCUCGGGUGACGAGCGGCGGACGGGUGAGUAAUGUCUGGGAAACUGCCUGAUGGAGGGGGAUAACUACUGGAAACGGUAGCUAAUACCGCAUAACGUCGCAAGACCAAAGUGGGGGACCUUCGGGCCUCAUGCCAUCAGAUGUGCCCAGAUGGGAUUAGCUAGUAGGUGGGGUAACGGCUCACCUAGGCGACGAUCCCUAGCUGGUCUGAGAGGAUGACCAGCCACACUGGAACUGAGACACGGUCCAGACUCCUACGGGAGGCAGCAGUGGGGAAUAUUGCACAAUGGGCGCAAGCCUGAUGCAGCCAUGCCGCGUGUGUGAAGAAGGCCUUCGGGUUGUAAAGCACUUUCAGCGGGGAGGAAGGCGGUGAGGUUAAUAACCUCAUCGAUUGACGUUACCCGCAGAAGAAGCACCGGCUAACUCCGUGCCAGCAGCCGCGGUAAUACGGAGGGUGCAAGCGUUAAUCGGAAUUACUGGGCG
This 568-nucleotide ribosomal RNA is filed under the name Klebsiella pneumoniae. RNAcentral's name for it is "bacterial SSU rRNA". It matches the Rfam family "Bacterial small subunit ribosomal RNA", at positions 1 to 560 of the family's 1533-position model. Lineage: Bacteria; Pseudomonadati; Pseudomonadota; Gammaproteobacteria; Enterobacterales; Enterobacteriaceae. The record is from RNAcentral.